CCUACGGGCGGCUGCAGUGGGGAAUAUUGCACAAUGGGCGCAAGCCUGAUGCAGCCAUGCCGCGUGUGUGAAGAAGGCCCUCGGGUUGUAAAGCACUUUCAGCGGGGAGGAAGGCGGUGAGGUUAAUAACCUCAUCGAUUGACGUUACCCGCAGAAGAAGCACCGGCUAACUCCGUGCCAGCAGCCGCGGUAGUACGGAGGGUGCAAGCGUUAAUCGGAAUUACUGGGCGUAAAGCGCACGCAGGCGGUCUGUCAAGUCGGAUGUGAAAUCCCCGGGCUCAACCUGGGAACUGCAUUCGAAACUGGCAGGCUAGAGUCUUGUAGAGGGGGGUAGAAUUCCAGGUGUAGCGGUGAAAUGCGUAGAGAUCUGGAGGAAUACCGGUGGCGAAGGCGGCCCCCUGGACAAAGACUGACGCUCAGGUGCGAAAGCGUGGGGAGCAAACAGGAUUAGAUACCCUAGUAGUC
RNAcentral lists this ribosomal RNA (465 nucleotides) under uncultured Klebsiella sp. Its description in RNAcentral is "bacterial SSU rRNA". It matches the Rfam family "Bacterial small subunit ribosomal RNA", at positions 338 to 795 of the family's 1533-position model. Lineage: Bacteria; Pseudomonadati; Pseudomonadota; Gammaproteobacteria; Enterobacterales; Enterobacteriaceae. The record is from RNAcentral.